RNAcentral lists this ribosomal RNA (392 nucleotides) under uncultured bacterium. RNAcentral's name for it is "partial 16S ribosomal RNA". It matches the Rfam family "Bacterial small subunit ribosomal RNA", at positions 523 to 918 of the family's 1533-position model. The record is from RNAcentral.
AUACGGAGGAUCCGAGCGUUAUCCGGAUUUAUUGGGUUUAAAGGGUGCGCAGGCGGCCAUUUAAGUCAGCGGUUAAAUCGUGGGGCUCAACCCCAUUCUGCCGUUGAUACUGGGUGGCUUGAUUGCGGUCGAGGUUGGCGGAAUUCGUUGUGUAGCGGUGAAAUGCAUAGAAAUGACGAAGAACACCGAUUGCGUAGGCAGCUGACCAGACCGCAAAUGACGCUCAUGCACGAAAGUGCGGGGAUCGAACAGGAUUAGAUACCCUGGUAGUCCGCACAGUAAACGAUGAAUACUUGUUUUCGGCGAUAUAAUGUCGGAGGCAAAGCGAAAGCGAUAAGUAUUCCACCUGGGGAGUACGCCGGCAACGGUGAAACUCAAAUGAAUUGACGGGG